RNAcentral lists this ribosomal RNA (253 nucleotides) under uncultured bacterium. RNAcentral's name for it is "partial 16S ribosomal RNA". It matches the Rfam family "Bacterial small subunit ribosomal RNA", at positions 524 to 776 of the family's 1533-position model. The record is from RNAcentral.
UACGUAGGGUGCAAGCGUUGUCCGGAAUUAUUGGGCGUAAAGAGCUCGUAGGCGGUCUGUCGCGUCGGCUGUGAAAUCCCGAGGCUCAACCUCGGGUCUGCAGUCGAUACGGGCAAACUAGAGUAUUGCAGGGGAGACUGGAAUUCCUGGUGUAGCGGUGAAAUGCGCAGAUAUCAGGAGGAACACCGGUGGCGAAGGCGGGUCUCUGGGCAAUAACUGACACUGAGGAGCGAAAGCGUGGGGAGCGAACAGG